This 253-nucleotide ribosomal RNA is filed under the name uncultured bacterium. Its description in RNAcentral is "partial 16S ribosomal RNA". It matches the Rfam family "Bacterial small subunit ribosomal RNA", at positions 524 to 776 of the family's 1533-position model. The record is from RNAcentral.
UACGUAGGCAGCAAGCGUUGUUCGGAGUUACUGGGCGUAAAGGGUGCGUAGGCGGCCUUAUAAGUAUGGUGUGAAAUCUCCCGGCUUAACUGGGAGGGUGCGCUAUAGACUGUGGGGCUAGAGUGUGGGAGAGGAAAGUGGAAUUCCUGGUGUAGCGGUGAAAUGCGUAGAUAUCAGGAGGAACACCGGUGGUGUAAACGGCUUUCUGGACCAUAACUGACGCUGAGGCACGAAAGCGUGGGUAGCAAACAAG